GGUCUCUUAGAUUACGAGUUAAUCCUAUGGAGAAGUCAGCAGAAGUCAUAGUACUUGAGGUAACGAGUUGCGAAUAGAUACCGCAUAGGGCUCACAAACAAGGAAGGAC
Non-coding RNA from Flavobacterium sp., 109 nucleotides. Lineage: Bacteria; Pseudomonadati; Bacteroidota; Flavobacteriia; Flavobacteriales; Flavobacteriaceae. The record is from Rfam.